This 309-nucleotide ribosomal RNA is filed under the name Enterovibrio norvegicus. RNAcentral describes it as "bacterial SSU rRNA". It matches the Rfam family "Bacterial small subunit ribosomal RNA", at positions 12 to 307 of the family's 1533-position model. The record is from RNAcentral. Lineage: Bacteria; Pseudomonadati; Pseudomonadota; Gammaproteobacteria; Vibrionales; Vibrionaceae.
UUUGAUCAUGGCUCAGAUUGAACGCUGGCGGCAGGCCUAACACAUGCAAGUCGAGCGGCAGCGACAACAAAGAUUCUUCGGAGAAUUUGUUGGGCGGCGAGCGGCGGACGGGUGAGUAAUGGCUGGGAACCUGCCCUGACGUGGGGGAUAACAGUUGGAAACGACUGCUAAUACCGCAUGAUGUCUUCGGACCAAAGAGGAGGACCUUCGGGCUUCUCGCGUCGGGAUGGGCCCAGUUGGGAUUAGCUAGUUGGUGAGGUAAUGGCUCACCAAGGCGACGAUCCCUAGCUGGUUUGAGAGGAUGAUCAG